GAUGAACGCUGGCUACAGGCUUAACACAUGCAAGUCGAGGGGAAACGACGGGGAAGCUUGCUUCCCCGGGCGUCGACCGGCGCACGGGUGAGUAACGCGUAUCCAACCUGCCUCUGACUGAGGGAUAACCCGUCGAAAGUCGGCCUAAUACCUCAUGGCAUCGUCUGCGGGCAUCCAACGACGAUUAAAGAUUUCAUCGGUCAGAGAUGGGGAUGCGUCUGAUUAGCUUGUUGGCGGGGUAACGGCCCACCAAGGCGACGAUCAGUAGGGGUUCUGAGAGGAAGGUCCCCCACAUUGGAACUGGGACACGGUCCAAACUCCUACGGGAGGCAGCAGUGAGGAAGAUUGGGCAAUGGGCGAGAGCCUGAACCAGCCAAGUAGCGUGCAGGAUGACGGCCCUAUGGGUUGUAAACUGCUUUUAUGCGGGGAUAAAGUGAGGGACGGGUCCUCAAUUGCAGGUACCGCAUGAAUAAGAACCGGCUAAUUCCGUG
RNAcentral lists this ribosomal RNA (491 nucleotides) under uncultured bacterium. RNAcentral's name for it is "partial 16S ribosomal RNA". It matches the Rfam family "Bacterial small subunit ribosomal RNA", at positions 28 to 507 of the family's 1533-position model. The record is from RNAcentral.